CACCGGCGCAUGAUUGGCGCCGCGGUCUGAAAGCCGGCUCGUCCCCCGCCGCUUCAGACUUCAGGACAAAGGCCUUAUCCCCCCUCUCCGGGCCUUUGUCCCCUGUUACGAAAGUCGUCACGGCGCCGCCUCCGGCCGUGGCGACUUUUC
This 150-nucleotide small RNA is filed under the name Gillisella taibaishanensis. Its description in RNAcentral is "Rhizobium taibaishanense sRNA ar7". It matches the Rfam family "Alphaproteobacterial sRNA ar7". The record is from RNAcentral. Lineage: Bacteria; Pseudomonadati; Pseudomonadota; Alphaproteobacteria; Hyphomicrobiales; Rhizobiaceae.